Non-coding RNA from Camellia sinensis, 2859 nucleotides. The record is from RefSeq and is a predicted model, not a curated record. NCBI's taxonomy places the organism in Eukaryota, Viridiplantae, Streptophyta, Magnoliopsida, Ericales, Theaceae.
UUCUUAAGCUUUAAUAGCCAAACUGAAACAACAAAAAGUACAAGACAUUUUCAUAAUAUAGCAUUCAAAAAUUAAAUUAUGACAUCCAUUUUCUGCUGUCUAGGACCUCUAUACAAACAUUACGAGUCAAAACAUUUUUAUUGAAUUACAAGCAUCCAAGCCCAUGCUCCUCAAAGCAUUUGACGUAAGGAGCAUUGUGGCAGUAGUUUCAACUGUAGACAUAAAGUCCAUGUGCUUCCCUUUCAGCAAGAGGAAAAUAAAAAAAAUAAAGGGAAUAGAAAAAAAAUUUAUGUAUUAGUUGCCAACCUAAUACAUGCUAAGAAAUAUAUAUAGGCCAUCCUAAGAAAUAUUUAAGAUUUUUUAGCCUUUUAGGGUAUGUUUCCUUUUUACAUAUAAGAAGUUCAAGAAUGCCUCCAAUGCUUCCAAUAGAUGGAUUCUCUGCAUUACAUAAAAAAUGUAUCAGUAUUUACUUGAAACUAACAUGAACAUGUAUACAUCUACCUUCUUAAGCUUUGAUAGCCAAACAGAAACAACAAAAAGUACUGGACAUUUUCGUAAUAUAGCAUUCAAAAAUUAAAUUAUGACAUCCAUUUUCUGCUGUUUAGGACCUCCAUACAAGCAUUACGAGUCAAAACAUUUUUAUUGAAUUACAAGUAUCCAAGCCCAUGCUCCUCAAAGCAUUUGACGUAAGGAGCAUUGUGGCAGCUACACUGAAAGAAUGCCCCCCCACAGUGUAUGCUGCCUGUAAGACAAUCACUAAUUAAAGAUUUAAUAUAUGUACAUAUUUAGUAAUUGUGUGUACCAAUUCUUGUGUGAUGUUUUUUAGAAAAACAAAAAAACACCAUGGUUAAUAUCAGUGCAAAAUCUAGAGUAUUCUCAUACAAAUGAAAAAUAUUUUCAUUGAUCUCUUAAAAAGAUUGACUCAAGAAUUUGAAACAUGUUCCUCACAAGUCUUCACCAACUUGAUAGGAAGAGAUGGCAAAUUCGUAUUAACACCAACAGAUAAUGACCCUAAAUCUACGGCUUCAUAACCUAAUGCUCUAAAUACCGCCCUGUCAUAUCUCCAACCCCACACUUUUGGGAGUUGUAAAUAUGACCAGCCACCAAGGCCUCUUAUGGAACCAAAUGAGUUGAAUACUUGCUUAAUAGUGACAAUUUGGUUAGUGGAAGCGUAACUAAUUAACUUGUAAGCGAUCAAUAUUGUGUAACCAUAAUCAGAUCACAGCUUGAAUCAAAAUUCACAUCUCAACCCAAAACCACACAAGUAUAUUAUAAACUUAUUACAUUGCUUCUCCUCAUGUCCCAACUAGGUAUAAACAAAGUAAAUAUUUUACACUUAUCGCCUAUACUGAACUCGUAUAAAUAGGACAUAGAAUAAACACAAAUUAUAUACUACAAGUUCACAUACCUAGGAAUCUACCCAGAAUUCUAAGGUCAUCAUUUCACCUAAGGUUUGACCAUACCACAAGUACAUCUAAAUUAUAACAGACGUAACCACUCCACCCAAAAUGAACCUAAACCUAGGGUUUCAUAACAUAUUUCUCUCAAACCAUUGUAAGGUUUGUAAUAUGUCAACACAUAUAAAUCAUCAAUUAUGCCUAAUCACCACACUUAGAUUUAAUUAAUCCCAACUCAGGCUCAAUUUAACUUAUUUUAACACAUCCUUAUACUUUGUUUGUCUAUCCUCAACAAUAGACAAACAAAAUGUGACCCUGUUUUCCUUGAGUAAUCUUUCCUAAAUACAAAUUGGUUAACCAUAAUUAGGGUUUAGACCAAUAACCAAGGGUUAAGACAAGAUCAGAUCACUUUGUAUCAAAGCCCAGAACAUAACCAAUCACAACAUAGGUUAGGUUAAUUAACCAUGCUAUAAUCACACUUAACUGAAAACAAGUUUUAAGUUAAUUAAAGACAUUAAUUAGAAAUUUUUAUCAAAGCUCAUUAAGAAAAUUAUUUAGCUUCAAAAAUCUACAUAUUAAGGUUUCAAGGAUUUCCUUGCUUACCAAUAAAAGUAACCUUUUACACUACUAAUCUCAGAAACACAAUUAAAGCAAGAAUGACACAUAAUUAAUCAUUUUUUUAUAUAAGAGAUUAUAAGAUAUAACAUAUAAUAAAAGAUAGUAGAGCUGGGAUGUUGCAAUAACCCUAAAAUCACAAAAUCUUCAAUUGAGCUUAAUAGAGGCCAGUGAGCUUAAUAGAAAUAUAUAAGAUUUUUUAGCCUUUUAGGGUAUGUUUCCUUUUUACAUAUAAGAAGUUCAAAAAUUUCUUUAGAACCAAUCUUAGAUUAUUUUCAAAACGUGUUGAAGUAAAAAAAAAAGUACUUUAGAGCACAAUGUGCAUGCACAAACACACUGCUGCUGUUAUGUUUUAGUGCUGGAAUGGAACUUUUUGUGACUGAAUUUAUUGUUGGAACAGAGGAGAAACAGAGCUAGUUUUUAUUUUGUACACUGCUAUAUUUGGCUGGACUUGAUUGAGCUUGCCCCCACCUUUCAUUGAUGUAUUGUUGCUGUAAUUAUGGAUCAAAUGGCAUUCACCAGGCUUCUCCACAAACACAUCAGAGAUCCUCUUUUGGAAGUCAUGAAAUGCAACCUUUUAAUCGGGGCUGUCUUUUGGGUUUCCAAGUCUGAGAAGUUGAAGGUAUUUUAAAAUGGUUUUUGGUUCAAGCUUCCUACCCAUGACCGACCGUGAACUUGUUAAAACAAUAGAUUUACACCCACAACCGAACCACAGCACAUGCAAAACUGUCCGUAGCUCGUCGGGUGGGUUCGGAUUGGACGGUUUGCCGGGUCUCCAGGUUAAAGAAGAACAAGUGCAACUUCAAAUGCAAUGGUAAAACCUUAGGUAAUUGAUAUAUUUGCAUCA